CCUACGGGUGGCAGCAGUAGGGAAUUUUCGUCAAUGGGCGCAAGCCUGAACGAGCAAUGCCGCGUGAACGAGGAAGGUCUUCGGAUCGUAAAGUUCUGUUGAAGGGGAAAAAGAGCGGAGAGAGGAAAUGCUUUCUGAUUGAUAUUACCCUUCGAGGAAGUCACGGCUAACUACGUGCCAGCAGCCGCGGUAAUACGUAGGUGGCGAGCGUUAUCCGGAAUGAUUGGGCGUAAAGAGGGAGCAGGCGGCAGCUAAGGUCUGCGGUGAAAGCCCGAAGCUAAACUUCGGUAAGCCGUGGAAACCGAGCAGCUAGAGUGCAGUAGAGGAUCGUGGAAUUCCAUGUGUAGCGGUGAAAUGCGUAGAUAUAUGGAGGAACACCAGUGGCGAAGGCGACGAUCUGGGCUGCAACUGACGCUCAGUCCCGAAAGCGUGGGGAGCAAAUAGGAUUAGAUACCCCAGUAGUC
This 464-nucleotide ribosomal RNA is filed under the name uncultured bacterium. RNAcentral describes it as "partial 16S ribosomal RNA". It matches the Rfam family "Bacterial small subunit ribosomal RNA", at positions 338 to 795 of the family's 1533-position model. The record is from RNAcentral.